CAAGUCGAACGAUUAAGACUUCCUUCGGGAAGUGCAUAAAGUGGCGCACGGGUGAGUAACACGUAAGUAAUCUACCUUUGAGUGGGGAAUAACCCGGGGAAACCCGAGCUAAUACCGCAUAAUGCAGCGGCAUCGCGAGAUGACAGUUGUUAAAGGAGCAAUCCGCUUAAAGAGGAGCUUGCGGCAGAUUAGCUAGUUGGUAAGGUAAUGGCUUACCAAGGCUACGAUCUGUAUCCGGUCUAAGAGGACGGUCGGACACACUGACACUGAAUAACGGGUCAGACUCCUACGGGAGGCAGCAGUCGGGAAUUUUGGGCAAUGGGCGAAAGCCUGACCCAGCAACGCCGCGUGAAGGAUGAAGUAUUUCGGUAUGUAAACUUCGAAAGAAUAGGAAGAAUAAAUGACGGUACUAUUUAUAAGCUCCGGCUAACUACGUGCCAGCAGCCGCGGUAAUACGUAGGGAGCAAGCGUUGUUCGGAUUUACUGGGCGUAAAGGGCGCGUAGGCGGCGUGUCAAGUCGAUUGUGAAAUCUCCGGGCUUAACUCGGAACGGCCAAUCGAUACUGACGUGCUAGAGUGCAGAAAGGGCAAUCGGAAUUCUUGGUGUAGCGGUGAAAUGCGUAGAUAUCAAGAGGAACACCUGAGGCGAAGGCGGGUUGCUAGGCUGACACUGACGCUGAUGCGCGAAAGCCAGGGGAGCAAACGGGAUUAGAUACCCCGGUAGUCCUGGCCCUAAACGAUGAAUACUUGGUGUCUGGAGUUUCAAUACUCCGGGUGCCGUCGCUAACGUUUUUAGUAUUCCGCCUGGGGAGUACGCUCGCAAGAGUGAAACUCAAAGGAAUUGACGGGGACCCGCACAAGCGGUGGAGCAUGUGGUUUAAUUCGACGCAACGCGAAGAACCUUACCUGGACUAGAAUGUGAGGGAAGGGCUUCUAAUAGAGUCCGUCCGGGAAACCGGACCCAAACAAGGUGCUGCAUGGCUGUC
Molecule: ribosomal RNA, 985 nt
Filed under: uncultured Bacillota bacterium
Lineage: Bacteria; Bacillati; Bacillota
Description: bacterial SSU rRNA
Rfam family: Bacterial small subunit ribosomal RNA
Source: RNAcentral